UGCUGCUGUUUAAGAAAACGGACAGUAACGUUUUAUAUUGAUAGGGCCAUACAUAAGUCAGAAAUUGACUGUGGAGGAUGAAACAAAGCUUAGGAAAGUAUUGGAAUACAACUCCUGGAAUCCCAGAACAGUGUCAUAUUUGAAAUAUUUGAAGUGUUCAGUGCCUAGCAGUUAUUUUAACUACAUUUUCUCACUGUCAGCCAAUCUACAAGAUAGGGAGAUCAGCUUUGAACUAGUAUGCCAUUAUAUUAAAUAUAUAGCUGAAAAUGGCAACUGCCUGUUCUGUUUCAGCUUUGAGAAGAAUGAGCAGACUGCAGUAUGAUGAUGUCAUGAGAUUCCACAGUUAUCUUUGCAGCACAAUAUUGGAAGCCAACGAUAUGGAGCAAGACCAGAGACAUGCAGAAAAUCACCACACAAGUGCAGGGCUGAUGCACAUUUCCCACGAUUUGCCUCCAGCCAGGUCUGACACCUGUAAAGCUUCAAAUGAUAAUGCCACAUUGUGAAGACAAAAGGAAAAUGCAUUGAAGAUGUACCUGAAUGGCAGGAGGAGAAGGAUUCAUAUUGCUAAGUGUCGCUUAGCAACAUGAUAUGUGAGGAAUAUCUAUGAGAGACCCUACCAUGGGCCUGGACAUUUCUGAGUUUUCAUCUGAAUAUUAUACCAUGAUUCUUCCCACCACAAUUACAAUCUGGAUGUGUUUUUUAAAGAAAGAAAAGUGCCUACCUGUAUUCUGAUUGUUUUACUUUGGGUAGAUUAGCUUGACAGGAGAAGAUGCUGUGGCAGGAGAAAAGAGUCCUUUCUUCUAAACAAGGGCUCUGAGUUCACUGCUUAUAUAUGUUUCUUGGACCAAACUGGCACAUUAUCUGCUAACUUUAAAAAAAAAACCUGUUCUUCUAACAUACUGUUUGAAUCCUGUGGGGACUAACAGUUUGGUGCCUUGUAAGCAUAAUAUGCACUCAUCACUAGAACACACUUGUGCAUUUUACUUGCACGUGUGCACAUGUGUUUGGAGUUGUAAUAUCAGAUUCAAUGACACUUAAAAGCGUAUAAAUAGCAUUGCACCUUCAGUACUUGUAAUUCGAUAACAUUAACAUAGAACACAAGAGGCAUCAUGGACUCUAACAAACACUGACAUGGUGUGAGGGAUAUUAGACCAAA
Molecule: long non-coding RNA, 1156 nt
Filed under: Pogona vitticeps (central bearded dragon)
Lineage: Eukaryota; Metazoa; Chordata; Lepidosauria; Squamata; Agamidae
Description: lncRNA (ENSPVIG00000024243.1)
Source: RNAcentral